Molecule: long non-coding RNA, 251 nt
Organism: Sander lucioperca (pikeperch)
Lineage: Eukaryota; Metazoa; Chordata; Actinopteri; Perciformes; Percidae
Exons: 3
Source: RefSeq, a predicted model, not a curated record
UUCCGUGAUUCCCAACGGAUUUCAGUAUACCCACUUCCAAAAACGCAAGGAUAACGUUACGUAACGAUGAUUGUUUUGUGAGAGAACUUUCACACUUAACGUUCACAAAUUCACCCCGUCUGUGUUGCGAGUCGCCUAGGAACAACUACAAAGUUCUCUGCACGAAUUUGGAAUUAACUAAUGUGAAUCACUAAAGUAGCUAGAUAUAUGAAACGAAAGCAAAUUUAAACUACACUCUUUCAGUGAUUUGG